Molecule: ribosomal RNA, 256 nt
Filed under: uncultured bacterium
Lineage: Bacteria
Description: partial 16S ribosomal RNA
Rfam family: Bacterial small subunit ribosomal RNA
Source: RNAcentral
CGGGACGGGUGAGUAACGCGUGGGUAACCUGCCCUGUACAGGGGGAUAACAGUUGGAAACGGCUGCUAAAACCGCAUAACAUGGAGAUACCGCAUGAUAUUUCCAUCAAAUAUUUAUAGGUACAGGAUGGGCCCGCGUCUGAUUAGCCAGUUGGCAGGGUAAUGGCCUACCAAAGCGACGAUCAGUAGCCGGCUUGAGAGAGUGACCGGCCACAUUGGGACUGAGACACGGCCCAAACUCCUACGGAAGGCAGCAG